AAAUUGAAGAGUUUGAUCAUGGCUCAGAUUGAACGCUGGCGGCAGGCCUAACACAUGCAAGUCGAGCGGUAGCACAGAGAGCUUGCUCUCGGGUGACGAGCGGCGGACGGGUGAGUAAUGUCUGGGAAACUGCCUGAUGGAGGGGAUAACUACUGGAAACGGUAGCUAAUACCGCAUAAUGUCGCAAGACCAAAGUGGGGGACCUUCGGGCCUCAUGCCAUCAGAUGUGCCCAGAUGGGAUUAGCUAGUAGGUGGGGUAACGGCUCACCUAGGCGACGAUCCCUAGCUGGUCUGAGAGGAUGACCAGCCACACUGGAACUGAGACACGGUCCAGACUCCUACGGGAGGCAGCAGUGGGGAAUAUUGCACAAUGGGCGCAAGCCUGAUGCAGCCAUGCCGCGUGUGUGAAGAAGGCCUUCGGGUUGUAAAGCACUUUCAGCGGGGAGGAAGGCGGUGAGGUUAAUAACCUCACCGAUUGACGUUACCCGCAGAAGAAGCACCGGCUAACUCCGUGCCAGCAGCCGCGGUAAUACGGAGGGUGCAAGCGUUAAUCGGAAUUACUGGGCGUAAAGCGCACGCAGGCGGUCUGUCAAGUCGGAUGUGAAAUCCCCGGGCUCAACCUGGGAACUGCAUUCGAAACUGGCAGGCUAGAGUCUUGUAGAGGGGGUAGAAUUCCAGGUGUAGCGGUGAAAUGCGUAGAGAUCUGGAGGAAUACCGGUGGCGAAGGCGGCCCCUGGACAAAGACUGACGCUCAGGUGCGAAAGCGUGGGGAGCAAACAGGAUUAGAUACCCUGGUAGUCCACGCCGUAAACGAUGUCGAUUUGGAGGUUGUGCCCUUGAGGCGUGGCUUCCGGAGCUAACGCGUUAAAUCGACCGCCUGGGAGUACGGCCGCAAGGUUAAAACUCAAAUGAAUUGACGGGGGCCCGCACAAGCGGUGGAGCAUGUGGUUUAAUUCGAUGCAACGCGAAGAACCUUACCUGGUCUUGACAUCCACAGAACUUUCCAGAGAUGGAUUGGUGCCUUCGGGAACUGUGAGACAGGUGCUGCAUGGCUGUCGUCAGCUCGUGUUGUGAAAUGUUGGGUUAAGUCCCGCAACGAGCGCAACCCUUAUCCUUUGUUGCCAGCGGUCCGGCCGGGAACUCAAAGGAGACUGCCAGUGAUAAACUGGAGGAAGGUGGGGAUGACGUCAAGUCAUCAUGGCCCUUACGACCAGGGCUACACACGUGCUACAAUGGCAUAUACAAAGAGAAGCGACCUCGCGAGAGCAAGCGGACCUCAUAAAGUAUGUCGUAGUCCGGAUUGGAGUCUGCAACUCGACUCCAUGAAGUCGGAAUCGCUAGUAAUCGUAGAUCAGAAUGCUACGGUGAAUACGUUCCCGGGCCUUGUACACACCGCCCGUCACACCAUGGGAGUGGGUUGCAAAGAAGUAGGUAGCUUAACCUUCGGGAGGGCGCUUACCACUUUGUGAUUCAUGACUGGGGUGAAGUCGUAACAAGGUAACCGUAGGGGAACCUGCGGUUGGAUCACCUCCUUA
RNAcentral lists this ribosomal RNA (1535 nucleotides) under Klebsiella pneumoniae subsp. pneumoniae. Its description in RNAcentral is "bacterial SSU rRNA". It matches the Rfam family "Bacterial small subunit ribosomal RNA". Lineage: Bacteria; Pseudomonadati; Pseudomonadota; Gammaproteobacteria; Enterobacterales; Enterobacteriaceae. The record is from RNAcentral.